ACGGUAACAGGGAGCUUGCUCCGCUGACGAGUGGCGAACGGGUGAGUAAUACAUCGGAACGUGCCCAGUAAUGGGGGAUAGCUCGGCGAAAGCCGGAUUAAUACCGCAUACGCCCUGAGGGGGAAAGUGGGGGACCGCAAGGCCUCACGUUAUUGGAGCGGCCGAUGGCUGAUUAGCUAGUUGGUAGGGUAAAGGCCUACCAAGGCGACGAUCAGUAGCUGGUCUGAGAGGACGAUCAGCCACACUGGGACUGAGACACGGCCCACACUCCUACGGGAGGCAGCAGUGGGGAAUUUUGGACAAUGGGGGAAACCCUGAUCCAGCAAUGCCGCGUGUGCGAAGAAGGCCUUCGGGUUGUAAAGCACUUUUGUCAGGGAAGAAAUCCUUUGGGCUAAUACCCUAGGGGGAUGACGGUACCUGAANAAUAAGCACCGGCUAACUACCUGCCACCAGCCGCGGUAAUACGUAGGGUGCAAGCGUUAAUCGGAAUUACUGGGCGUAAAGCGUGCGCAGGCGGUUGUGUAAGACAGGUGUGAAAUCCCCGGGCUUAACCUGGGAAUUGCAUUUGUGACUGCACGACUANAGUGUGUCAGAGGGGGGUGGAAUUCCACUUGUAGCAGUGAAAUGCGUAGAUAUGUGGAGGAACACCAAUGGCGAAGGCAGCCCCCUGGGAUAACACUGACNCUCAUGCACGAAAGCGUGGGGAGCAAACAGGAUUAGAUACCCUGGUAGUCCACGCCCUAAACGAUGUCAACUANUUGUUGGGGAUUUACUUCNUUGGUAACGUAGCUAACGCNUGAAGUUGACCGCCUGGGGAGUACGGCCGCAAGGUUAAAACUCAAA
RNAcentral lists this ribosomal RNA (843 nucleotides) under Limnobacter sp. SA59. Its description in RNAcentral is "bacterial SSU rRNA". It matches the Rfam family "Bacterial small subunit ribosomal RNA", at positions 66 to 905 of the family's 1533-position model. Lineage: Bacteria; Pseudomonadati; Pseudomonadota; Betaproteobacteria; Burkholderiales; Burkholderiaceae. The record is from RNAcentral.